GGUCCGCUGGCUUAAUUGGCAAAGCGUCUGACUACGACUCAGUAGAUCAUCAGGAGAUUCCAGGUUCGAGCCCUGGGUGGAUCG
Rhypophila decipiens is the source of this 84-nucleotide non-coding RNA. Lineage: Eukaryota; Fungi; Ascomycota; Sordariomycetes; Sordariales; Naviculisporaceae. The record is from the annotation of a GenBank genome assembly.